This 301-nucleotide ribosomal RNA is filed under the name uncultured bacterium. RNAcentral describes it as "partial 16S ribosomal RNA". It matches the Rfam family "Bacterial small subunit ribosomal RNA", at positions 509 to 808 of the family's 1533-position model. The record is from RNAcentral.
CAGUAGCCCGCGGUAAUACAGAGGGUGCGAGCGUUAAUCGGAUUUACUGGGCGUAAAGCGUGCGUAGGCGGCUUUUUAAGUCGGAUGUGAAAUCCCUGAGCUUAACUUAGGAAUUGCAUUCGAUACUGGGAAGCUAGAGUAUGGGAGAGGAUGGUAGAAUUCCAGGUGUAGCGGUGAAAUGCGUAGAGAUCUGGAGGAAUACCGAUGGCGAAGGCAGCCAUCUGGCCUAAUACUGACGCUGAGGUACGAAAGCAUGGGGAGCAAACAGGAUUAGAUACCCCCGUAGUCCCUGUCUCUUAUA